AAUCAACGCUGGCGGCGUGCCUAAUACAUGCAAGUCGAACGCGAAAGUCCCGCAAGGGAUGAGUAGAGUGGCAAACGGGUGAGUAACACGUGGGUGACCUGCCUUCGAGCGGGGGAUAAC
This 120-nucleotide ribosomal RNA is filed under the name uncultured bacterium. Its description in RNAcentral is "partial 16S ribosomal RNA". It matches the Rfam family "Bacterial small subunit ribosomal RNA", at positions 32 to 147 of the family's 1533-position model. The record is from RNAcentral.